UCGCCUGUUUUAACAAAAACAUGUCCUUUUGAGUUUUAUUUAAGGUCUGACCUGCCCUAUGAGAAAUUAAAUGGCCGCGGUAUUUUAACCGUGCAAAGGUAGCAUAGUCACUUGUCUCUUAAUUGGAGGCUUGAAUGAAGGGUUGGACGAGAUAUAAACUUUCUUUAUUAUAUUAAGUUGAAUUUGAUUUUUUAGUUAAAAAGCUUAAAUUUAUUUAUAGGACGAGAAGACCCUAUAGAAUUUUAUAUUUUUAUAAUAUUAAUUUAUUUUUUAAUAAUUUGGUUUUUGUUUUGGAAAUAUUUUGUUGGGGCGAUGGGAAGAUAUUUUUAACUCUUUUUAUUUUAAUUCAUUAAUGUAUGUUUAUUUUGAUCCUUUUUUAAAGAUUAUAAGAUUAAAUUACCUUAGGGAUAACAGCGUAAUUCUUUUGGAGAGUUCUUAUCGAUAAAGGAGUUUGCGACCUCGAUGUUGGAUUAAAA
Molecule: ribosomal RNA, 476 nt
Filed under: Abedus indentatus
Lineage: Eukaryota; Metazoa; Arthropoda; Insecta; Hemiptera; Belostomatidae
Description: partial 16S ribosomal RNA
Rfam family: Bacterial large subunit ribosomal RNA
Source: RNAcentral